RNAcentral lists this ribosomal RNA (525 nucleotides) under uncultured bacterium. RNAcentral describes it as "bacterial SSU rRNA". It matches the Rfam family "Bacterial small subunit ribosomal RNA", at positions 355 to 896 of the family's 1533-position model. The record is from RNAcentral.
UGGGGAAUAUUGGACAAUGGGGGCAACCCUGAUCCAGCCAUGCCGCGUGAGUGAAGAAGGCCUUAGGGUUGUAAAGCUCUUUCAACGGUGAAGAUGAUGACAGUAGCCGUAGAAGAAGCCCCGGCUAACUCCGUGCCAGCAGCCGCGGUAAUACGGAGGGGGCAAGCGUUGUUCGGAAUUACUGGGCGUAAAGGGCGCGUAGGCGGUCUGUUGCGUCAGGUGUGAAAGCCCGGGGCCCAACCCCGGAAUUGCACUCAAAACUUCCUCGCUAGAGUCUCGGAGGGGAAAGCGGAAUUCCCGGUGUAGAGGUGAAAUUCGUAGAUAUCGGGAGGAACACCAGUGGCGAAGGCGGCUUUCUGGACGAUGACUGACACUGAGACGCGAAAGCGUGGGGAGCAAACAGGAUUAGAUACCCUGGUAGUCCACGCCGUAAACGUUGUGUGCUAGGUGUCGCGGGUAUUGACCCCUGCGGUGCCGUCGUUAACGCAUUUAGCACACCGCCUGGGGAGUACGGCCGCAAGGCUA